This 465-nucleotide ribosomal RNA is filed under the name Vreelandella stevensii. RNAcentral describes it as "partial 16S ribosomal RNA". It matches the Rfam family "Bacterial small subunit ribosomal RNA", at positions 338 to 795 of the family's 1533-position model. Lineage: Bacteria; Pseudomonadati; Pseudomonadota; Gammaproteobacteria; Oceanospirillales; Halomonadaceae. The record is from RNAcentral.
CCUACGGGUGGCUGCAGUGGGGAAUAUUGGACAAUGGGGGGAACCCUGAUCCAGCCAAGCCGCGUGUGUGAAGAAGGCCCUCGGGUUGUAAAGCACUUUCAGUGAGGAAGAACGCCUGGUGGUUAAUACCCAUCAGGAAAGACAUCACUCACAGAAGAAGCACCGGCUAACUCCGUGCCAGCAGCCGCGGUAAUACGGAGGGUGCGAGCGUUAAUCGGAAUUACUGGGCGUAAAGCGCGCGUAGGUGGCUUGAUAAGCCGGUUGUGAAAGCCCCGGGCUCAACCUGGGAACGGCAUCCGGAACUGUCAAGCUAGAGUGCAGGAGAGGAAGGUAGAAUUCCCGGUGUAGCGGUGAAAUGCGUAGAGAUCGGGAGGAAUACCAGUGGCGAAGGCGGCCUUCUGGACUGACACUGACACUGAGGUGCGAAAGCGUGGGUAGCAAACAGGAUUAGAUACCCCAGUAGUC